GUGGCCAGCCGCCGCGGUAAUACGUAAGUGGCAAGCGUUAUCCGGAAUUACUGGGCAUAAAGAGUUCGUAGGCGGUUAAUCAAGCCAAUAGUGAAAUCCACCAGCCUAACUGGUGUAAGCUAAUGGAACUGAUUAACUUGAGUACAGGAGAGGAAAGUGGAAUUCCUAGUGUAGUAGUGAAAUGCGUAGAUAUUAGGAAGAACAUCAGUAGCGAAGGCGACUUUCUGGACUGUAACUGACGCUGAGGAACGAAAGCGUGGGGAGCGAACAGGAUUAGAAACCCCAGUAGUCC
This 292-nucleotide ribosomal RNA is filed under the name uncultured bacterium. RNAcentral describes it as "partial 16S ribosomal RNA". It matches the Rfam family "Bacterial small subunit ribosomal RNA", at positions 505 to 796 of the family's 1533-position model. The record is from RNAcentral.